This 318-nucleotide ribosomal RNA is filed under the name uncultured eukaryote. Its description in RNAcentral is "partial 18S ribosomal RNA". It matches the Rfam family "Eukaryotic small subunit ribosomal RNA", at positions 1470 to 1796 of the family's 1831-position model. The record is from RNAcentral.
CCCCUAGAUGUUCUGGGCCGCACGCGCUACACUGAACAGUUCAACAAGUCUUAACCUUGGCCGAUAGGUCUGGGUAAUCUUUGAACGCUGUUCGUGAUUGGGAUAGACCUUUGCAAUUAUGGGUCUUCAACGAGGAAUUCCUAGUAAACGCAAGUCAUCAGCUUGCAUUGAUUACGUCCCUGCCCUUUGUACACACCGCCCGUCGCACCUACCGAUUGAAUGGUCCGGUGAAAUCUCGGGACGGCGGCUUGGUCGCUUGCGUCCGACUGCUGAAACUUGAUUAAACCAUAUCAUUUAGAGGAAGGUGAAGUCGUAACA